GAUGAACGCUAGCGGCAGGCUUAAUACAUGCAAGUCGUGGGGCAGCAUGACUGUAGCAAUACAGUUGAUGGCGACCGGCAAACGGGUGCGGAACACGUACACAACCUUCCUUUUAGUGGAGAAUAGCCCAGGGAAACUUGGAUUAAUACUCCGUAACAUAUAGAAGUGGCAUCACUUUUAUAUUAUAGCAGCAAUGCGCUAGAAGAUGGGUGUGCGGCUGAUUAGAUAGUUGGCGGGGUAAUGGCCCACCAAGUCGACGAUCAGUAACUGGUGUGAGAGCACGACCAGUCACACGGGCACUGAGACACGGGCCCGACUCCUACGGGAGGCAGCAGUAAGGAAUAUUGGUCAAUGGACGCAAGUCUGAACCAGCCAUGCCGCGUGGAGGAUGAAGGUCCUCUGGAUUGUAAACUUCUUUUAUUUGGGAAGAAACCCUCUUUUCUAAGAUGGUUGA
Molecule: ribosomal RNA, 454 nt
Filed under: uncultured bacterium
Lineage: Bacteria
Description: bacterial SSU rRNA
Rfam family: Bacterial small subunit ribosomal RNA
Source: RNAcentral